UCUUCCGCAAUGGACGAAAGUCUGACGGAGCAACGCCGCGUGAGUGAUGACGGCCUUCGGGUUGUAAAGCUCUGUUAACCGGGACGAAAGGUCUCCUUGCGAAUAGUUAGAAGAAUUGACGGUACCGGAAUAGAAAGCCACGGCUAACUACGUGCCAGCAGCCGCGGUAAUACGUAGGUGGCAAGCGUUGUCCGGAAUUAUUGGGCGUAAAGCGCGCGCAGGCGGAUUGGUCAGUCUGUCUUAAAAGUUCGGGGCUUAACCCCGUGAUGGGAUGGAAACUGCCAAUCUAGAGUAUCGGAGAGGAAAGUGGAAUUCCUAGUGUAGCGGUGAAAUGCGUAGAUAUUAGGAAGAACACCAGUGGCGAAGGCGACUUUCUGGACGAAAACUGACGCUGAGGCGCGAAAGCCAGGGGAGCGAACGGG
Molecule: ribosomal RNA, 422 nt
Filed under: uncultured bacterium
Lineage: Bacteria
Description: bacterial SSU rRNA
Rfam family: Bacterial small subunit ribosomal RNA
Source: RNAcentral